RNAcentral lists this long non-coding RNA (650 nucleotides) under Medicago truncatula (barrel medic). RNAcentral describes it as "lncRNA gene13420". The record is from RNAcentral. Lineage: Eukaryota; Viridiplantae; Streptophyta; Magnoliopsida; Fabales; Fabaceae.
UCUAGAAAAGGUAGAUUGCCUGUAACUAUUUUUUUCUCUAACUCAAGCACUCUCAUUAUAAUACUUAUAGAGCAGCCAGCUUUCGACAACAAUAGGAUACGACUUUGAUCAGCAGUUGGGAUGUUACGAUAAGCAGGAAGAAAUUGAACCUCUUUGUCAUCCAAUAACUCAUGAUUGUGAUGAUUGUUGAAAUAUGUAACCACUCAUUUUUCCUCAAAGCCAAUUGUUUUUAUAGCAACCAACAUCUUUGCACCACAAUUACAUUUUGAAGAUUUUCAUUUUCUUUGACAUUCCACUUCGUUAUUGUUGCGGUGUUUAACAAUACCACCACGAUGGCAAACAAAUUCCCUUUUAUAAAUAUCAGAUGGGUUCUUUUUAGACUCGUUUGUAUAAGAUUUGUAAAUGUGUUCGCGCCUGAUCGAAAAUCCAUUUUUUCGUGCAAAUAAAGAAUAAAAUUCAUAAGCAUCACCAUCAUUACUAAAUAUUUUCUCUUCAAAAGGAACCAACUCAUCAAUGUUACUGACAUGAGGAAAAUUUUCAUUUUGUGGCUCUUGAAAUGUUGAUGAAUUUAUAUAUUUAUCAUCUACACAUAUAGAAGAAUAAUCUUUAAGAACCUCAGAGUGCCAAUCACUACCAUCAUUAUUUUCUUC